RNAcentral lists this ribosomal RNA (497 nucleotides) under uncultured bacterium. RNAcentral describes it as "partial 16S ribosomal RNA". It matches the Rfam family "Bacterial small subunit ribosomal RNA", at positions 28 to 507 of the family's 1533-position model. The record is from RNAcentral.
GAUGAACGCUGGCGGCGUGCCUAAUACAUGCAAGUCGAGCGAACAGAUGAGGAGCUUGCUCCUCUGACGUUAGCGGCGGACGGGUGAGUAACACGUGGAUAACCUACCUAUAAGACUGGGAUAACUUCGGGAAACCGGAGCUAAUACCGGAUAAUAUAUUGAACCGCAUGGUUCAAUAGUGAAAGACGGUUUUGCUGUCACUUAUAGAUGGAUCCGCGCCGCAUUAGCUAGUUGGUAAGGUAACGGCUUACCAAGGCAACGAUGCGUAGCCGACCUGAGAGGGUGAUCGGCCCCCCUGGAACUGAGACACGGUCCAGACUCCUACGGGAGGCAGCAGUAGGGAAUCUUCCGCAAUGGGCGAAAGCCUGACGGAGCAACGCCGCGUGAGUGAUGAAGGUCUUCGGAUCGUAAAACUCUGUUAUUAGGGAAGAACAAAUGUGUAAGUAACUAUGCACGUCUUGACGGUACCUAAUCAGAAAGCCACGGCUAACUACGUG